RNAcentral lists this ribosomal RNA (495 nucleotides) under uncultured bacterium. Its description in RNAcentral is "partial 16S ribosomal RNA". It matches the Rfam family "Bacterial small subunit ribosomal RNA", at positions 28 to 507 of the family's 1533-position model. The record is from RNAcentral.
GACGAACGCUGGCGGCGUGCCUAAUACAUGCAAGUAGAACGCUGAAGGAGGAGCUUGCUUCUCUGGAUGAGUUGCGAACGGGUGAGUAACGCGUAGGUAAACUGCCUGGUAGCGGGGGAUAACUAUUGGAAACGAUAGCUAAUACCGCAUAAUAGUAGAUGUUGCAUGACAUUUGCUUAAAAGGUGCAAUUGCAUCACUACCAGAUGGACCUGCGUUGUAUUAGCUAGUUGGUGGGGUUACGGCUCACCAAGGCGACGAUACAUAGCCGACCUGGGAGGGGGGACCGCCAACCUGGGACUUGGGCACGGCCCCGACCCCUUCGGGGAGGCGCAGUAGGGGAUCCUCGGCAAUUGACGGAAGGCUGACCGAGCCACGCCGCGUGAGUGAAGGAGGGUUUCGGAACGUAAAGCUCUGUUGUAAGGGAAGAACGAGUGUGGGAGUGGAAAGUGCACACUGUGACGGUAUCUUACCAGAAAGGGACGGCUAACUACGUG